GGCGAGAUAGCAAAAUGGUUAUGCAGCGGAUUGCAAAUCCGCCUAUCCCAGUUCGAUUCUGGGUCUCGCCUCCA
RNAcentral lists this transfer RNA (74 nucleotides) under Candidatus Gallionella acididurans. RNAcentral describes it as "tRNA-Cys". It matches the Rfam family "tRNA". Rfam says of the family: Transfer RNA (tRNA) molecules are approximately 80 nucleotides in length. Their secondary structure includes four short double-helical elements and three loops (D, anti-codon, and T loops). Lineage: Bacteria; Pseudomonadati; Pseudomonadota; Betaproteobacteria; Nitrosomonadales; Gallionellaceae. The record is from RNAcentral. RNAcentral also lists the same sequence under 9 other names.